CUAGACUCCUACGGGAGGCAGCAGUGGGGAAUAUUGCACAAUGGGGGGAACCCUGACCCAGCGACGCCGCGUGAGUGAAGAAGUAUUUCGGUAUGUAAAGCUCUAUCAGCAGGGAAGAAAGAAAUGACGGUACCUGACUAAGAAGCCCCGGCCAACUACGUGCCAGCAGCCGCGGUAAUACGUAGGGGGCAAGCGUUAUCCGGAUUUACUGGGUGUAAAGGGAGCGUAGACGGUAUGGCAAGUCUGAUGUGAAAACCCGGGGCUCAACCCCGGGACUGCAUUGGAAACUGUCGGACUAGAGUGUCGGAGAGGCAAGUGGAAUUCUUAGUGUAGCGGUGAAAUGCGUAGAUAUUAGGCGGAACACCAGUGGCGAAGGCGGCUUGCUGGACGAUGACUGACGUUGAGGCUCGAAAGCGUGGGGAGCAAACAGGAUUAGAUACCCUUGUAA
Molecule: ribosomal RNA, 448 nt
Filed under: uncultured bacterium
Lineage: Bacteria
Description: partial 16S ribosomal RNA
Rfam family: Bacterial small subunit ribosomal RNA
Source: RNAcentral